This is a long non-coding RNA of Nematolebias whitei (Rio pearlfish), 92 nucleotides long. RefSeq lists it as uncharacterized. The record is from RefSeq and is a predicted model, not a curated record. NCBI's taxonomy places the organism in Eukaryota, Metazoa, Chordata, Actinopteri, Cyprinodontiformes, Rivulidae. The transcript is spliced from 3 exons.
GUCAGAGUUAGUCACUACUGACACGUCUGUCAGCCAAUCAAAACGUUACACACGGUCUUUUUCAACCAAUCACAGAACGGAAGAGCACACGU